RNAcentral lists this unclassified non-coding RNA (847 nucleotides) under Zea mays. RNAcentral describes it as "misc RNA Zm00001eb322870". The record is from RNAcentral. Lineage: Eukaryota; Viridiplantae; Streptophyta; Magnoliopsida; Poales; Poaceae.
UAGCAAACGCCGUCGUCCGCCCUCCACAGCUUCACUGCUCGUCUGCUCCAGCGACCAGCGGGCAGCUGGGCGCCUGCGCCAUUCUCCUGCUCUCUCUCAGCCGCGCGUGAGCCGUAGCAAAGUAGCAAACGCCGCCGUCCUCCUGCUCUCUGGUCUCCCAGCCGUGAGCCGUAGCAAACGCCGCCGUCCUCUCCUACUCUCUGCUCAACUGCUCUCUCCAGCGGGCAGCGGUGCCGGUCCAGCCUCCAGAGUCCAGAGGCCACGGCUCGGCGGCUCCCUCCCAGACGGCCAGCCUCCACACGCCGCCGUCCGAGACCAGCCCGAGAAGAAGCUUGCUGCGUUGAACACUGCUGACCACGCCGCCGUCCGAGAAGAAGCUUGCCGAGAAAAGCUUGCUCCCUCUGCUCUCCAGUCUCCAUUGCUGGCCACGGCUACAGCUCUGCUGUCCACGGCUCUGCUCUCCACUGCUGACCACAGACCACCUGCUGUCCGCGGAAUGAAGAUAUAGCAAGUGGCUCCUCUCCAUGAGCAAUAUGUCUUAUGUUUGUUGAGAGAUGUGAGCAAAUAAGUCUUGGUUGUAAUAGUCUAUGCGUGCUAAGUGAUCUAAUGAGCAAGUGAUUAUGAAUAUGUGUUUUAAACUUUGUAUUGUGUCAUGUGUGCUAGUAGACUUAUAUGACUUCUUAUGUUAGCCAAGAGCCCAAGACUUAUGUGCUACAUUAAACUUUGUGUGCUCCGGAUUUACAUGGCUUUUAUAGUUUUAUUUGUGUUUAAUUAAGACUUGUGUUUACAAUUUUUUAUUUGCCGUUAAGUUUUGAAUAUAUGGUUUCAUGGUGUUGAUUUACCGAAC